This 468-nucleotide ribosomal RNA is filed under the name uncultured bacterium. Its description in RNAcentral is "partial 16S ribosomal RNA". It matches the Rfam family "Bacterial small subunit ribosomal RNA", at positions 28 to 507 of the family's 1533-position model. The record is from RNAcentral.
GAUGAACGCUGGCGGCGUGCUUAACACAUGCAAGUCGAACGGUGAAGGCGGAGCUUGCUCUGCUGGAUCAGUGGCGAACGGGUGAGUAACACGUGAGCAAUCUGCCCCUGACUCUGGGAUAAGCGCUGGAAACGGCGUCUAAUACUGGAUACGAGCUGCGAAGGCAUCUUCAGCAGCUGGAAAGAACUUCGGUCAGGGAUGAGCUCGCGGCCAAUCAGCUUGUUGGUGAGGUAACGGCUCACCAAGGCGUCGACGGGUAGCCGGCCUGAGAGGGUGACCGGCCACACGGGGACUGAGACACGGCCCAGACUCCUACGGGAGGCAGCAGGGGGGAAUAUGGCACAAUGGGCGAAAGCCUGAUGCAGCAACGCCGCGUGAGGGACGACGGCCUGCUGGUUGUAAACCUCUUUUAGCAGGGAAGAAGCGAAAGUGACGGUACCUGCAGAAAAAGCGCCGGCUAACUACGUG